UACGGGGGGGGCAAGCGUUGUCCGGAAUUACUGGGCGUAAAGGGCUCGUAGGUGGCCAACUAAGUCAGCCGUGAAAUCCCCAGGCUUAACCUGGGAACUGCGUCUGAUACUGGAUGGCUUGAAUUCGGGAGAGGGAUGCAGAAUUCCAGGUGUAGCGGUGAAAUGCGUAGAUAUCUGGAGGAAUACCGGUGGCGAAGGCGGCAUCCUGGACCGAGAUUGACACUGAUGAGCGAAAGCCAGGGGAGCAAACGGG
Molecule: ribosomal RNA, 253 nt
Filed under: uncultured bacterium
Lineage: Bacteria
Description: partial 16S ribosomal RNA
Rfam family: Bacterial small subunit ribosomal RNA
Source: RNAcentral